This 237-nucleotide long non-coding RNA is filed under the name Lathyrus oleraceus (garden pea). RNAcentral's name for it is "Pisum sativum (pea) long non-coding RNA (PSAT_LNC027138)". Lineage: Eukaryota; Viridiplantae; Streptophyta; Magnoliopsida; Fabales; Fabaceae. The record is from RNAcentral.
GUGUUAAAUUCUAAGUUUGGGGUAAACCCCGUAAGUAUUAAAAACCAAGGUGAGUACGAAAAAAGAGAGUACAAAAACGAAAUGUAGUCAAUGGGUCGAAAGAAGCACUCACCAAGGAAGAGUACUCAGUUGAAAAAAAAGAGAAGAUAAAAAAAUGGAGUAAUUGAAAAGAAGUAAAAUGAAAAAACACAGUGAAAAGAAUAAUGACAUUGGCUUUGAACCCAAAACCACUUGUUU